UACGGGGGGGGCAAGCGUUGUUCGGAUUUACUGGGCGUAAAGGGCUUGUAGGUGGCCAACUAAGUCAGACGUGAAAUCCCUCGGCUUAACCGGGGAACUGCGUCUGAUACUGGAUGGCUGGAGUGUGGGAGAGGGAUGCGGAAUUCCAGGUGUAGCGGUGAAAUGCGUAGAUAUCUGGAGGAACACCGGUGGCGAAGGCGGCAUCCUGGACCAUUACUGACACUGAAAAGCGAAAGCCAGGGGAGCAAACGGG
This 253-nucleotide ribosomal RNA is filed under the name uncultured bacterium. Its description in RNAcentral is "partial 16S ribosomal RNA". It matches the Rfam family "Bacterial small subunit ribosomal RNA", at positions 524 to 776 of the family's 1533-position model. The record is from RNAcentral.